GCCUCGUUAGCGCAGAAGGGAAGCGCGUCAGUUUCAUAAUCAAAUGGAAAAAUCUGAAGGUCGUGAGUUCGAUCCUCUCACGGGGCA
This 87-nucleotide transfer RNA is filed under the name Nematostella vectensis (starlet sea anemone). It matches the Rfam family "tRNA". Rfam says of the family: Transfer RNA (tRNA) molecules are approximately 80 nucleotides in length. Their secondary structure includes four short double-helical elements and three loops (D, anti-codon, and T loops). Further hydrogen bonds mediate the characteristic L-shaped molecular structure. tRNAs have two regions of fundamental functional importance: the anti-codon, which is responsible for specific mRNA codon recognition, and the 3' end, to which the tRNAs corresponding amino acid is attached (by aminoacyl-tRNA synthetases). tRNAs cope with the degeneracy of the genetic code in two manners: having more than one tRNA (with a specific anti-codon) for a particular amino acid; and 'wobble' base-pairing, i.e. permitting non-standard base-pairing at the 3rd anti-codon position. The record is from Rfam by way of RNAcentral. Lineage: Eukaryota; Metazoa; Cnidaria; Anthozoa; Actiniaria; Edwardsiidae.